Molecule: long non-coding RNA, 331 nt
Organism: Nothoprocta perdicaria
Lineage: Eukaryota; Metazoa; Chordata; Aves; Tinamiformes; Tinamidae
Exons: 3
Source: RefSeq, a predicted model, not a curated record
UCUCUGAGUUGGCUCUGGCUGUUAGGAAAAAUUAAGCCUACAGAACUUCCUAGGAAGGGGAUUUGUAUCUACUGGAGGCUGUUGGUACUGAAAAUGCUCACAAUGUACUCAGUUAUACAUGCAUAAAGAGCAUAACAGGAAGAGAAGAACACUUGUUCUGCCUCUUGGUCCUCUUCACUUUUAAGUUUGGUAUCAGUUUUGGAACUGUGAAUGCAUCAGUCUCACCUCCCUGGAAUAAAGGACCUUAUGAAAGGAGUGGAAUGGGGAGUUUUUUGGCCAGAAGCCUGAAGCCCUCAUGCAGGGAGCACCAGGGAUUGUGGUAGUCUACUCC